Molecule: small nucleolar RNA, 107 nt
Organism: Humulus lupulus (European hop)
Lineage: Eukaryota; Viridiplantae; Streptophyta; Magnoliopsida; Rosales; Cannabaceae
Source: RefSeq, a predicted model, not a curated record
AUACCGUGGUGUGGGCACUUCCGCAAAAGCUCCUUAAAUCUCUCCCAUGCAUCACUGGUUGAUUCAUCUUCAAGCUGCUGGAAUGACAUGAUUUCACUUCGAAAUUU